GCCUGUCCUACAACCGAUAACCCACGAUCAACCUCACCCGCCUUUGCAACAACAGUCUAUAUACCUCCGUCGCCAGCCCGCCUGAAAACAGAUACAAAGCGAGUGCAACAGUUCAUCACUAAGACGACAGGUCAAGGUGUAACUAAUAGGUUGGGCAGAGAUGGGCUACAUUUCCUAACAUAGAAAAUACCCACCCGCCAUGAAAUUUGCGCAAAAAGGUGGAUUUAGCAGUAAGUCAGGCAAGAAAAGCCUACCUGAAAACCGCCCUGAAAUGUGU
This 277-nucleotide ribosomal RNA is filed under the name Uroplatus sameiti. Its description in RNAcentral is "partial small subunit ribosomal RNA". The record is from RNAcentral. Lineage: Eukaryota; Metazoa; Chordata; Lepidosauria; Squamata; Gekkonidae.